GGUCUGUAGCUCAGGUGGUUAGAGCGCACCCCUGAUAAGGGUGAGGUCGGUGGUUCAAGUCCACCCAGACCCACCAGAAUCGAUCAGCUCGUCGUUGCGCCAAGACUCGCAUACUGAUUGUAUGCUUCNCCUUGACGCGCCUAAAUCUGACCGAUUUUCCGAGUAAGGCUUAAGGUG
Molecule: transfer RNA, 177 nt
Filed under: uncultured Marinobacter sp.
Lineage: Bacteria; Pseudomonadati; Pseudomonadota; Gammaproteobacteria; Pseudomonadales; Marinobacteraceae
Description: tRNA-Ile
Rfam family: tRNA (bases 1-73)
Source: RNAcentral